UACGUAGGGGGCGAGCGUUGUCCGAAGUUACUGGGCGUAAAGCGCGCGUAGGCGGGGGGUUAAGUGAGAGGUGAAAGGCUGGGGCUCAACCUCAUGCAGUGCCUCUCAUACUGGCCUUCUUGAGGGCGGUAGGGAGAAGUGGAAUGGCUGGUGUAGCGGUGAAAUGCGUAGAUAUCAGUCGGAACACCGGUGGCGAAGGCGGCUUCUUGGGCCGUUCCUGACGCUGAUGCGCGAAAGCUGGGGGAGCGAACGGG
This 254-nucleotide ribosomal RNA is filed under the name uncultured bacterium. RNAcentral describes it as "partial 16S ribosomal RNA". It matches the Rfam family "Bacterial small subunit ribosomal RNA", at positions 524 to 776 of the family's 1533-position model. The record is from RNAcentral.